RNAcentral lists this transfer RNA (95 nucleotides) under Tepidimonas fonticaldi. RNAcentral describes it as "tRNA-Gly". Lineage: Bacteria; Pseudomonadati; Pseudomonadota; Betaproteobacteria; Burkholderiales. The record is from RNAcentral.
UGUUCAACUGGCUGGGGCAAGACCUGACGGGCUGCCGCUGCGUCGAUGCGUUUGCCGGCAGCGGCGCGCUGGGGUUCGAGGCCGCCUCGCGCGGC